RNAcentral lists this transfer RNA (73 nucleotides) under Felis catus (domestic cat). It matches the Rfam family "tRNA". Rfam says of the family: Transfer RNA (tRNA) molecules are approximately 80 nucleotides in length. Their secondary structure includes four short double-helical elements and three loops (D, anti-codon, and T loops). Lineage: Eukaryota; Metazoa; Chordata; Mammalia; Carnivora; Felidae. The record is from Rfam by way of RNAcentral.
ACUUGGCUGGCUCAGUUGGUGGAGCAUCUGGCUGUAAAUCUCAGGGUUGUGAGUUCCAGCCUUAUGCUUGGUG